CCUACGGGGGGCAGCAGUGGGGAAUAUUGGACAAUGGGGGCAACCCUGAUCCAGCCAUGCCGCGUGUGUGAAGAAGGCCCUCGGGUUGUAAAGCACUUUCAGUGAGGAAGAACGCCUGGUGGUUAAUACCCAUCAGGAAAGACAUCACUCACAGAAGAAGCACCGGCUAACUCCGUGCCAGCAGCCGCGGUAAUACGGAGGGUGCGAGCGUUAAUCGGAAUUACUGGGCGUAAAGCGCGCGUAGGUGGCUUGAUAAGCCGGUUGUGAAAGCCCCGGGCUCAACCUGGGAACGGCAUCCGGAACUGUCAAGCUAGAGUGCAGGAGAGGAAGGUAGAAUUCCCGGUGUAGCGGUGAAAUGCGUAGAGAUCGGGAGGAAUACCAGUGGCGAAGGCGGCCUUCUGGACUGACACUGACACUGAGGCGCGAAAGCGUGGGUAGCAAACAGGAUUAGAUACCCGUGUAGUC
Molecule: ribosomal RNA, 465 nt
Filed under: Vreelandella stevensii
Lineage: Bacteria; Pseudomonadati; Pseudomonadota; Gammaproteobacteria; Oceanospirillales; Halomonadaceae
Description: partial 16S ribosomal RNA
Rfam family: Bacterial small subunit ribosomal RNA
Source: RNAcentral